Molecule: transfer RNA, 65 nt
Filed under: Sinohyriopsis cumingii
Lineage: Eukaryota; Metazoa; Mollusca; Bivalvia; Unionida; Unionidae
Description: Hyriopsis cumingii tRNA-Gly
Source: RNAcentral
AUACCGAAAGUAUAUGUACAGUACAGUUGCCUUCCAAGUAAAAAGACCACCAAAAGGUCGGUAUG